Molecule: ribosomal RNA, 528 nt
Filed under: Kryptoperidinium foliaceum
Lineage: Eukaryota; Dinophyceae; Peridiniales; Kryptoperidiniaceae
Description: partial Bacterial small subunit ribosomal RNA
Rfam family: Bacterial small subunit ribosomal RNA
Source: RNAcentral
AUGAAGAGUUUGAUCCUGGCUCAGGAUGAACGCUAGCGGCAGGCCUAAUACAUGCAAGUCGAGGGGCAGCACGGUUUUCGGACUGGUGGCGACCGGCGCACGGGUGCGUAACGCGUAUACAAUUUGCCUUGUACUGGAGGAUAGCCCGGAGAAAUCCGGAUUAAUACUCCAUAAUAUUAUGAAUUCGCAUGUUUUUAUAAUUAAAGCUUCGGUGGUACAAGAUGAGUAUGCGUCCUAUUAGUUAGUUGGUAAGGUAACGGCUUACCAAGACAACGAUAGGUAGGGGGCCUGAGAGGGUUAUCCCCCACACUGGUACUGAGACACGGACCAGACUCCUACGGGAGGCAGCAGUGAGGAAUAUUGGACAAUGGAGGCAACUCUGAUCCAGCCAUGCCGCGUGAAGGAAGACUGCCCUAUGGGUUGUAAACUUCUUUUAUAGAGGAAGAAACGUGAAUACGUGUAUUCAUUUGACGGUACUCUACGAAUAAGGAUCGGCUAACUCCGUGCCAGCAGCCGCGGUAAUGCGGA